GGGAAGGUGGCUCAGUGGUAGAGCGCUUGCCUUGCAUGCAUGUAGUUACGAAAAGAACAUUUCUA
Molecule: transfer RNA, 65 nt
Filed under: Dipodomys ordii (Ord's kangaroo rat)
Lineage: Eukaryota; Metazoa; Chordata; Mammalia; Rodentia; Heteromyidae
Rfam family: tRNA
About the family: Transfer RNA (tRNA) molecules are approximately 80 nucleotides in length. Their secondary structure includes four short double-helical elements and three loops (D, anti-codon, and T loops).
Source: Rfam by way of RNAcentral